This is a non-coding RNA of Pelodiscus sinensis (Chinese soft-shelled turtle), 1087 nucleotides long. The record is from RefSeq and is a predicted model, not a curated record. Lineage: Eukaryota; Metazoa; Chordata; Testudines; Trionychidae.
CAAACUAUGUAAUUCACAAUCAAAAUUUUUCAGUCAGUGGAUCUCAAAGCCAUUCUUAGUUUUUAUCCUCAUAAUACUCCUGGGGGUAAUUAUUAUCCCAAUUUUAUGGACCGGCAACUGAGAUACAGAGAGGCUAAGCCUAAGGUCAUACAAAAAGUCUGUGGCAGAACAGAAGACUGGACGUUGGUCUCCCAAAAAGCAGUUUUUAAAAGGAGAUUGGAGGAAGGACCGGUGAUGAAUAGGAAUCAGCACAACCUACAGUGUGACUGUGUGACGAAUCAAGUCUGAAACAUGUCAGUGCUGCUUAACAGCAUCAUCAUCAUCAAUGGACUCAGACACACAGAAUGAGAAAUUCCAGGAAAAAUACACCUAAAAAGAAUGAAGACUAUGAAUACUAUCCAAAGUGUUCACUCUAGGAAUCAGUGCAGGACAGUAACUUGAAUUAAGGGAAAGUGGUGGAAGACAUUUCCUCCAAAAUGAAAAUUGCAGCUGACAAGAUCAUCCACCAGCGGUCCUGUGAAUGCACUCUUGCUGCUAGUUUAUGUCACAUUAGAAAUGUGUUCCUGAAACCACAGAGCAUUUUCAGGGGGGAGUAGGAGGAACUGCCAAUGCUGUUACUCUGUUUUAUAAGCAUUAACUUUUCCCUCAAUAUCAACCAAGGCUUCACCUCCUCCUUCCACCUUUCUGGGUAAUUUAGUCGACAGAUGGAGCAAAACUUGAGCAUUAAUGAUUAUUAUGAUCUGCACUUACAAGGGUUGGGCCAAAGGAAGCAACUACAGCUGUGGACUGCUGUUCAUCUGAAUUUCCAUACUUUAUAGGAUUGCUUAAAAAUUCCUGAUUUCAUUAAACCUGGAUCAAAAGUUAACCCGUAUCUUCCAUGGCAAGGGACCAGACUUUGAAAUUGGUGCAUGUACACAAGCCAUUCAAAAGGUAUAUUUACAUUGCCCCCCAAAUUAACAUUGGUCAUUGUGACGGGGAAGACGAUCCCCGCACUCGACCCAGCUGGUCGGCGGGUGCCAACGGCUGGGGAGGACCGAAGGCAGCCGUAGCAGGGGCACGGCUGACCGAGGACCAAGUCAUGACGAGU